RNAcentral lists this ribosomal RNA (926 nucleotides) under uncultured bacterium. Its description in RNAcentral is "bacterial SSU rRNA". It matches the Rfam family "Bacterial small subunit ribosomal RNA", at positions 1 to 917 of the family's 1533-position model. The record is from RNAcentral. RNAcentral also lists the same sequence under 1 other name.
UGGAUCCAGACUUUGAUCAUGGCUCAGGAUGAGCGCUAGCUACAGGCUUAACACAUGCAAGUCGAGGGGAAACGACAUCGAAAGCUUGCUUUUGAUGGGCGUCGACCGGCGCACGGGUGAGUAACGCGUAUCCAACCUGCCCAUCACUUGGGAAUAACCUUGCGAAAGUAAGACUAAUACCCAAUGACAUCCCACGAAGACAUCUGAAUGGGAUUAAAGAUUUAUCGGUGAUGGAUGGGGAUGCGUCUGAUUAGCUUGUUGGCGGGGUAACGGCCCACCAAGGCAACGAUCAGUAGGGGUUCUGAGAGGAAGGUCCCCCACAUUGGAACUGAGACACGGUCCAAACUCCUACGGGAGGCAGCAGUGAGGAAUAUUGGUCAAUGGGCGAGAGCCUGAACCAGCCAAGUAGCGUGCAGGAUGACGGCCCUAUGGGUUGUAAACUGCUUUUAUAAGGGAAUAAAGUGAGUCUCGUGAGACUUUUUGCAUGUACCUUAUGAAUAAGGACCGGCUAAUUCCGUGCCAGCAGCCGCGGUAAUACGGAAGGUCCGGGCGUUAUCCGGAUUUAUUGGGUUUAAAGGGAGCGUAGGCCGGAGAUUAAGCGUGUUGUGAAAUGUAGUGGCUCAACCUCUGCACUGCAGCGCGAACUGGUCUUCUUGAGUACGCACAACGUGGGCGGAAUUCGUGGUGUAGCGGUGAAAUGCUUAGAUAUCACGAAGAACUCCGAUUGCGAAGGCAGCUCACGGGAGCGCAACUGACGCUGAAGCUCGAAAGUGCGGGUAUCGAACAGGAUUAGAUACCCUGGUAGUCCGCACGGUAAACGAUGGAUGCCCGCUGUUGGCCUGAAUAGGUCAGCGGCCAAGCGAAAGCAUUAAGCAUCCCACCUGGGGAGUACGCCGGCAACGGUGCAACUCAAAGGAAUUGACGGA